CAAACAGGAAAAGUCACCAGUGAUUGGUUUGUCCGUUCUGGGCUACCGAAGGAACAUGGCGGACUACGUGAAGAGGACCGCUCCCUAUGUAGAUAUGAAGGCCUUAUUCUGAGCUAAUGAAAACACAACAAUUCUUAGUUUCAGGUGAUUAUACACUGAU
Sebastes umbrosus (honeycomb rockfish) is the source of this 160-nucleotide long non-coding RNA. RefSeq lists it as uncharacterized. The record is from RefSeq and is a predicted model, not a curated record. Lineage: Eukaryota; Metazoa; Chordata; Actinopteri; Perciformes; Sebastidae. The transcript has 3 exons.